This 202-nucleotide long non-coding RNA is filed under the name Homo sapiens (human). RNAcentral's name for it is "HSALNT0080646". Lineage: Eukaryota; Metazoa; Chordata; Mammalia; Primates; Hominidae. The record is from RNAcentral.
GUACCACUCUGUCUCCCUGGCAACGUGGCUCCACUUCCACAGCUCAGAAGAACACAAGUUUUCCAGUCCAUCGUCCGCGUGAGGAGAAAUUACAUGCAAUUUACAGAAUACCUUGACGUGAUACUCUUCAUCCUCACAGGGUUACGUUUUUAAAGGAAUUUACAGUAGGAUUCAGGGGGCUGAUUUAAAAAACACAAAAAGG